RNAcentral lists this ribosomal RNA (494 nucleotides) under uncultured bacterium. RNAcentral's name for it is "partial 16S ribosomal RNA". It matches the Rfam family "Bacterial small subunit ribosomal RNA", at positions 28 to 507 of the family's 1533-position model. The record is from RNAcentral.
GACGAACGCUGGCGGCGCGCUUAACACAUGCAAGUCGAACGGAAAGGCCUGCUUUCCCUUGUGGAUUGCGGGUACUCGAGUGGCGAACGGGUGAGUAACACGUGAGUGAUCUGCCCCCAACUUGGGUAUAAGCCUGGGAAACUGGGUCUAAUUCCCGAUAGGACUGCAGGGUGGUGCCUGUGGUGGAAAACGAUUUUCUAGUGGUUGGGGAUGAGCUCGCGGCCUAUCAGCUUGUUGGUGGGGGAAUGGCCUACCAAGGCGGCGACGGGUAGCCGGCCUGAGAGGGUGGACGGCCCCAUUGGGACUGAGAUACGGCCCAGACUCCUACGGGAGGCAGCAGUGGGGAAUAUUGCACAAUGGGCGGAAGCCUGAUGCAGCGACGCCGCGUGGGGGAUGACGGCCUUCGGGUUGUAAACUCCUUUCGACCGCGAGGAAGCCACCUGGUUGGAAGGGUGGUGACGGUAGUGGUAGAAGAAGCACCGGCUAACUACGUG